Sycon ciliatum is the source of this 430-nucleotide long non-coding RNA. RefSeq lists it as uncharacterized. NCBI's taxonomy places the organism in Eukaryota, Metazoa, Porifera, Calcarea, Leucosolenida, Sycettidae. The record is from RefSeq and is a predicted model, not a curated record. The transcript has 2 exons.
GCUUAUUUCGUUUCGGCGCUGCUGAGACAUCCUUUCGCGGAAUAUUACUCAAUGACAGGUGAGUUGACCAGUUGCCUUUGAUUCAUUUGCUUGUGUUGACUCUUUCAUUUACGAAAAGUGUGCUGAUUUUGGGCGGAAUGCAAUAAAUAAUGGAAAAGCUGACAGGAUCUCCUUUCUAAAUUUAGCUUUUCCGCUGCCUAGGCCUCCUUUUACGGAAUACUCAAUGACAGGUGAUCUCUGAGUUGACCAGUUUCCUUCGAUUCAUUUGCUUAUGCUCACCCUUUCAUUUACGGAAACGUGUGCUGAUUUCUCUUUGCCCUUGCCUACAGUGUGCGAAGAACGCGAGUUCACCUUCUUGACGAAAAUCGUGGACUAACAGUUUGAAGUCAUUGAACUACUUCCAAAAGUUGUAUCGACAUCAACAGGAUUA